GUUGUAUUAUUAGUUAAUGCAAGAUCGACUACGUCGACUAAAGUUCUAGGUAGAAUAAUGAUGAUGACAAUUUUUUACCUAUAUGUCUUGACCAAGUCUCGUGCCAGCAGUCGCGGUAAUACGUGGAAGACUAGUGUUAUUCAUCUUUAUUAGGUUUAAAGGGUACCUAGACGGUAUUUCUAGCCCAAAAUAGGGUACGGAUUUACUAGAGUUUUAUGUGAGGAGGGGAGUACUCGUGGAGUAGAGAUGAAAUUUUGUUAUACUAUGAGGUAACUGGUGGCGGCGAAAGCAACCUUCUAUGUAUAAACUGACGUUGAGGGACGAAGGCUUGGGUAGCAAAUAGGAUUAGAUACCCUAGUAGUCCAAGCAGACAAUUCUGAAUGCCAUAGAUUAGAUUAUUUUUGAUCUAUAAAUGAAAGUGUAAGCAUUCCACCUUAGGAGUAAUGUGGCAACACAGGAACUGAAAUCAUUAGACCGUUUCUGAAACCAGUAGUGAAGUAUGUUAUUUAAUUUGAUGGUCCACAAAAAACCUUACCACAACUUGAAUAUUUUUUAAUUAAUACAAGCGUUGCACGGCUGUCUUCAGUUAAUGUCGUGAGAUUUUGGUUAACUCCAUUAAUUAACGUAAACCCUUACUUUAUUUA
RNAcentral lists this ribosomal RNA (644 nucleotides) under Acarospora sp. EH-2023b. Its description in RNAcentral is "SSU rRNA". It matches the Rfam family "Bacterial small subunit ribosomal RNA", at positions 388 to 1117 of the family's 1533-position model. Lineage: Eukaryota; Fungi; Ascomycota; Lecanoromycetes; Acarosporales; Acarosporaceae. The record is from RNAcentral.